GAAACACGGACCAAGGAGUCUAACAUGUGUGCGAGUCACUGGGCGGCAAACCCAGAGGCGGAAUGAAAGUGAAGACCGGCUCGACCGGUUGAUACGGGACCUUCCCUUGAGGGAGCGCACCGUAGCCCCGUCUCGUCCGCUUGUCGGUGGGGCGGAGGAGGAGCAUACACGUUGGGACCCGAAAGAUGGUGAACUAUGCCUGAGCAGGACGAAGCCAGAGGAAACUCUGGUGGAGGUCCGAAGCGGUUCUGACGUGCAAAUCGAUCGUCAGACUUGGGUAUAGGGGCGAAAGACUAAUCGAACCAUCUAGUAGCUG
This 316-nucleotide ribosomal RNA is filed under the name Comesoma sp. MKL1. RNAcentral describes it as "eukaryotic LSU rRNA". It matches the Rfam family "Eukaryotic large subunit ribosomal RNA", at positions 656 to 953 of the family's 3401-position model. Lineage: Eukaryota; Metazoa; Nematoda; Chromadorea; Araeolaimida; Comesomatidae. The record is from RNAcentral.